AUAUCCCCUGAGCGGUUUCGCAUUUUUUCACUUUAGUACCUUGUGAUUUAAAGUGUAUCAAGUUAGUACCAUAUGGUUUCGUACUUUCUCAUUUUAGUAUUCUGUGGUUUCAAGUGUAUCAAGUUAGUACUCUGUGGUUUCGCAUUUUUUCACUUUAGUAUCAUGUGGUUUAAUAUUUCGUUAAAUUAUAUACUCCGAAAUGGAUAAUAAAAAAAAAAAAAUUGAAAUCACAGAAUACUAACUUGAUAUAAAAAUGAAACCACAGAGUACUAACUUGAUACACUUGAAACCAUAAGGUACUAAAAUGAGAAAGUGCAAAACGACAUGGUACUAACUUGAUACACUUUAAAUCACAUGGUACUAAAAUAAAAAAGUAUGAAAUCGCAUGGGGUGUAUUUGAAGUUUUUCCAAAGAUAAUUGAUAAAUAG
This 428-nucleotide long non-coding RNA is filed under the name Ananas comosus (pineapple). Its description in RNAcentral is "long non-coding RNA (ACOM_LNC039168)". The record is from RNAcentral. Lineage: Eukaryota; Viridiplantae; Streptophyta; Magnoliopsida; Poales; Bromeliaceae.